AGAACUGCCAUACAUUCAGUUUAUAGUAUCUAAGUUCUAUCACUGGGUUUGACAGAUCUUA
This 61-nucleotide microRNA precursor is filed under the name Heliconius melpomene (postman butterfly). RNAcentral's name for it is "Hme-Mir-3-P17_pre stem-loop". The record is from RNAcentral. Lineage: Eukaryota; Metazoa; Arthropoda; Insecta; Lepidoptera; Nymphalidae.